This 402-nucleotide ribosomal RNA is filed under the name Elliptoideus sloatianus. RNAcentral describes it as "partial 16S ribosomal RNA". It matches the Rfam family "Bacterial large subunit ribosomal RNA", at positions 1925 to 2559 of the family's 2925-position model. Lineage: Eukaryota; Metazoa; Mollusca; Bivalvia; Unionida; Unionidae. The record is from RNAcentral.
AAACGGCCGCGUUAGCGUGAGCGUGCUAAGGUAGCGUAAUAAAUAGCCUUUUAAUUGGAGGCCAGUGAAUGGCAAGACUAGGAACACCUGUACCCUUUAUGUAAGAAAAACUUUUCAUCCGAGUGAAAAGACUCGGAUAACACAGGAAGACGAAAAGACCCCGCGGAACUUUACCUUUUCUAGUCUCAUUUGUCAUACUACACACACAAAAGACACAAGGUUUGAUUGGGGCAAUCUCGGAACAACUAAGCUUCCGAUCUCCUUAAAACAAAGAUUCAAAACGCGAUAAGGACAAAAAAGAAGUUACCCCGGGGAUAACAGCGUAAUCCAGCUUGAGAGUACACAUCGAAAGCUGGGUUUGCGACCUCGAUGUUGGCUUAAGGACAUCCACAUUAGUGCAAC